Molecule: small nuclear RNA, 103 nt
Organism: Dromiciops gliroides (monito del monte)
Lineage: Eukaryota; Metazoa; Chordata; Mammalia; Microbiotheria; Microbiotheriidae
Source: RefSeq, a predicted model, not a curated record
GAACUUAGGCAGCACAUAUACUAAAGUUAGAAUUAUACAGAGAAGAGUAGUAUGGCCCCUUCAUAAAGAGAACACCAAAAUUCAGGAAGGUUUCCAUACAUUU